AACCUGGUUGAUCCUGCCAGUAGUCAUAUGCUUGUCACAAAGACUAAGCCAUGCAUGUCUAAGUAUAAACUAAUUAUACGGUGAAACUGCGAAUGGCUCAUUAAAUCAGUUAUAGUCUACUUGAUCGUAAAUUCUACUUGGAUAACCGUAGGAAAUCUAGGGCUAAUACAUGCUAAAAGCCGCGACUACCUCCGGGUUGGAAGCGGUGAAUUUAUUAGAUUAAAAACCAAUGGCGGGGGCAACCUCGUCAACCCUAGGCGAAUCAUGAUAACGCAUCUGAUCGGCGGCUAGUCCGCCGACGAUACAUACGAAUUUCUGCCCUAUCAACUUUCGAUGGUUGGAUAGAGGCCAACCAUGGUCGUAACGGGUAACGGAGAAUUAGGGUUCGGUUCCGGAGAUGGAGCCUGAGAGAUGGCUACAACUUCCACGGAAGGCAGCAGGCGCGCAAAUUACCCAAUCCCAAUACGGGGAGGUAGUGACAUGAAAUACCGAUGCGUGGCCCUAUUGGGUCGCGACGUUGGAAUGAGUACAAUUUAAAUCCCUUAACGAGGAACAAUUGGAGGGCAAGUCUGGUGCCAGCACCCGCGGUAAUUCCAGCUCCAAUAGCGUAUAUUAAAGUUGUUGCAGUUAAAAAGCUCGUAGUUGGAUUUCGGAGCAUUCACGAUGCUGACCGCUGAAACGGCGUGUUCGGCGCGUGGAUCUCCUCUUCUUGGGGAUUCAAGUGGGUGGCGGGUAAAACCGUCAUUCGCUCCCCAUCGUUUACUUUGAGAAAAUUGGAGUGCUCAAAGCAGGCACAACCCUGCCUUGAACAAUGCAGCAUGGGAUAAUAGAACAGGACGAAGGUCCUAUUUUGUUGGUUUCUAGGGCUUUUGUAAUGAUUAAAAGGGACAGUUGGGGGCAUUCGUAUUCAAUUGUCAGAGGUGAAAUUCUAGGAUUAAUUGAAGACGAACUACUGCGAAAGCAUUUGCCAAGGAUGUUUUCAUUAAUCAAGAACGAAAGUAGGGGGAUCGAAGAUGAUCAGAUACCGUCGUAGUCUCUACCAUAAACGAUGCCGACCAGGGAUCCGGAGAAGUUACGUGGAUGACUCCCCGGGCACCUUGUGAGAAAUCAUAAGUCGCUGGGUUCUGGGGGGAGUAUGGUCGCAAGGCUGAAACUUAAAGGAAUUGACGGAAGGGCACCACCAGGCGUGGAACCUGCGGCUUAAUUUGACUCAACACGGGGAAACUUACCAGGUCCAGACACAGUAAGGAUUGACAGAUUGAGAGCUCUUUCUUGAUUCUGUGGGUGGUGGUGCAUGGCCGUUCUUAGUUGGUGGAGUGAUUUGUCUGGUUAAUUCCGUUAACGAACGAGACCUUAACCUGCUAAAUAGUCCAUGUUUGGUUCGCCCAAGCAUGCUUGACUUCUUAGAGGGACUAGUCGAUUUUUGUGCGACUGGAAGUUUGAGGCAAUAACAGGUCUGUGAUGCCCUUAGAUGUUCUGGGCUGCACGCGCGUUACACUGACGAUUUCAACAAGUUUGUUCCUUCUCCGAUAGGAGUGGGUAAUCUUAUGAAAGGUCGUCGUGCUGGGGAUUGAUGCUUGCAAUUAUUCAUCAUGAACCAGGAAUGCCUAGUAGGCGUAUGUCAUCAACGUACGCCGAUUACGUCCCUGCCCUUUGUACACACCGCCCGUCGCUCCUACCGAUUGAAUGGUCCGGUGAGAACUCGGGAUGGCGGGCUUCCUGGCGGGCAACCGUCGUGGAGCCAUGUCAGAACUUGUUCAAACCUUACCAUUUAGAGGAAGGAGAAGUCGUAACAAGGUUUCCGUAGGUGAACCUGCAGAAGGAUCA
Molecule: ribosomal RNA, 1827 nt
Filed under: Echinamoeba exundans
Lineage: Eukaryota; Tubulinea; Echinamoebida; Echinamoebidae
Description: SSU rRNA
Rfam family: Eukaryotic small subunit ribosomal RNA
Source: RNAcentral